This 259-nucleotide ribosomal RNA is filed under the name uncultured bacterium. RNAcentral's name for it is "partial 16S ribosomal RNA". It matches the Rfam family "Bacterial small subunit ribosomal RNA", at positions 524 to 777 of the family's 1533-position model. The record is from RNAcentral.
UACGUAGGUGGCAAGCGUUGUCCGGAAUUGAUUGGGCGUAAAGCGCGCACAGGCGGCCUUCUUAAGUCUGAUGUGAAAGCCCCCGGCUCAACCGGGGGAGGGCCAUUGGAAAUCUGGGAGGCUUGAGUAUAGGAAGAGAAGAGUGGAAUUCCACGUGUAGCGGUGAAAUGCGUAGAGAUGUGGAGGAACACCAGUGGCGAAGGCGACUCUUUGGCCUAUAACUGACGCUGAGGCGCGAAAGCGUGGGGAGCAAACAGGA